Small nucleolar RNA from Rattus norvegicus (Norway rat), 82 nucleotides. Ensembl annotates it as small nucleolar RNA SNORA17. NCBI's taxonomy places the organism in Eukaryota, Metazoa, Chordata, Mammalia, Rodentia, Muridae. The record is from Ensembl.
AGUUGACUGACUUGGUUGAAAGUCUCUGUUUAUAUUCAGUGUUCUGACUUAGGAACAUCUGAAUGAUUAAUAGCCUAACAUU